Molecule: ribosomal RNA, 450 nt
Filed under: uncultured bacterium
Lineage: Bacteria
Description: partial 16S ribosomal RNA
Rfam family: Bacterial small subunit ribosomal RNA
Source: RNAcentral
CCUACGGGGGGCUGCAGUGGGGAAUUUUGGACAAUGGGGGCAACCCUGAUCCAGCCAUUCCGCGUGAGUGAAGAAGGCCUUCGGGUUGUAAAGCUCUUUCGCAAGGGAAGAAAACUUACUCAAUAACACUGGGUGAGGCUGACGGUACCUUGAUAAGAAGCACCGGCUAACUACGUGCCAGCAGCCGCGGUAAUACGUAGGGUGCGUACGUUAAUCGGAAUGACUGGAGGUAAUUUUGGAACAGGGGGGUGAAAUCCCCGGGCUCAACCUGGGAACUGCGUUUGAAACUACAAGGCUAGAGUAUGGCAGAGGGAGGUAGAAUUCCACGUGUAGCAGUGAAAUGCGUAGAGAUGUGGAGGAAUACCAAUGGCGAAGGCAGCCCCCUGGGUCAAUACUGACGCUCAUGCACGAAAGCGUGGGGAGCAAACAGGAUUAGAUACCCCAGUAGUC